UCUCCGUAGGUGAACCUGCGGAGGAAUCAUUACAGAGUUCAUGCCCUACCGGGUAGAUCUCCCACCCUAUGUUAUUAUUACUUUGUUGCUUUGGCGGGCCGUUAGGCUCCGGCCCGACUACCGGCCCCGGCUGGUAAGCGCCCGCCAGAGGACCCAAAACCCUGAAUAUUAGUGUCGUCUGAGUACUAUAUAAUAGUUAAAACUUUCAACAACGGAUCUCUUGGUUCUGGCAUCGAUGAAAACGCAGC
RNAcentral lists this unclassified non-coding RNA (248 nucleotides) under plant metagenome. Its description in RNAcentral is "partial contains small subunit ribosomal RNA, internal transcribed spacer 1, and 5.8S ribosomal RNA". The record is from RNAcentral.